Molecule: RNA transcript, 2663 nt
Organism: Scylla paramamosain (green mud crab)
Lineage: Eukaryota; Metazoa; Arthropoda; Malacostraca; Decapoda; Portunidae
Gene name: ketosamine-3-kinase-like
Exons: 11
Source: RefSeq, a predicted model, not a curated record
GCCGAUCCAAAGGCCUGGCAUAGGAGUGAUCCCGAGCCAUCUGUACUAUCAAGAUCAUGAUCAAGAUCAAUCUAGAUACAGGAUAUUUGGGUAGGAUCACUCUGCCUGGCACUCAGGUUUCACCAGGCCAAAGUAGACAACGCAUUUGUCAAAACGGUGAGACGGAGCCAUGUUUGCUGCAAUCAAGGAGGCCCUGGGCACCUCUGUCUUGGAGGGCACAGGGAGGGGUGGCGGUGGCUGCAUCAAUGAGGGGGAGGUGUACCGCACUGACACUGGGAAGGUGUUUCUGAAAAAGAAUUCAAAAGAAAAGGCACGGGAGAUGUUUGAUGGAGAGUAUGAAGGCUUGAAGGCAAUUCAGGCCACUGGCACAGUGCGUGUUCCUAUGCCUUACCUGGCCUUGGACAAUCCCACAGGUGGAGCAGUGUUGGUAAUGGAGUACCUCAACAUGCAGGGACUUAAGCAGAAGUCAGGUCAGCUUGGGACUCAAUUAGCCAGGCUACACCUCCACAAUCUUGCAGCAAGAGACACAAAAGUGGGAGGCACUGUGGGCAGAGGCUCUUCUAGCUAUGUGGAACAGUUUGGAUUUUCUAUCAACACUUGCUGUGGUUACAUUGCCCAGGACAAUAUCUGGACUGAUGACUGGCUGGUAUUUUACUCAAGAAAGCUGGACUUUCAGCUAUCCUUAAUUCAGAAAGAGUAUGGAGAUCGAGAAGCGAAUGAAUUGUGGUCCCACCUGCAGUUGAAGAUACCACAAUAUUUCUCAGGUGUUGAAGUGUUCCCAUCCCUCCUCCAUGGUGACCUGUGGAGUGGCAAUGCAGCAGAGAUGGCAGAUGGCCCAGUUAUCUUUGACCCAGCAUCAUUCUAUGGCCACCAUGAGUACGACUUAGCCAUUGCUGCCAUGUUUGGAGGAUUCUCACGACAGUUCUGGGAUGAAUAUCAUGCCCUGAUUCCAAAGGCAGCUGGCUGGAAUAAUAGACACAAGCUGUACAAAUUGUUCCAUAAUCUGAAUCACUGGAAUCAUUUUGGCAGUGGGUAUCGCAGUGGAAGCCUGAGACUGAUGCGAGAUUUGUGUUCUUAGAGUGUCCUGCUUAAGACCCGAAAUGAAUGUUUCAGGGAGGUACAGUGUAUGAGGCUAGCUGCAUGCUCUGCAGGGAUACAUGGGUGACUCCUGGGAUUGGUUGCUGUUUGCCGCACCCCCCCCCCCCUCUCUCUCUCUCUCUCUCUCUCUCUCUCUCUCUCUCUCUCUCUCUCUCUCUCUCUCUCUCUCUCUCUCUCUCUCUCUCUCUCUCUCUCUCUCUCUCUCUCUCUCUCUCUCUCUCUCUCUCUCUCUCUCUCUCUCUCUCUCUCUCUCUCUCUCUCUCUCUCUCUCUCUCUCUCUCUCUCUCUCUCUCUCUCUCUCUCUCUCUCUCUCUCUCUCUCAUCUGAGCGAGAGACAGAGAGAAAGAGUGUUGCAUUAGUGUGUGAAAUGGAACAGGCAACAAGAUAUUCUGUGCAGGAGAGGAUCAAGAUUGUAGAGGUCUCCUUUUGUCCAAACUCAAUGACAAUUUCGGAGGGACUUUCCAGGGAGAAACGCUCCAACCUGAUUCACAAUAAAGCGCCUCCUGGACAAAUUCAGGGAGACGGGAAGUGUACAGGAUAACAAUGAAGGUCGCAGUGGCUGGCCACGGUCAGUCAGGACAAAAAAUAACAUUGUGACUGUGAGACAGCAUUUGGAGCAGUCUCCAAGGAAAUCUACUAGAUGUUUGUCCCUGGAGACUGAUCUUUCAAGGAGUUCAGUUAUAUGCAUAAUGUGCCAGGAUCUUCACCUGUUUCCAUAUAAGAUACAGAUGUUACAACAUCAGACCAAUGCAAAUAAGGCUGAGAAAUGUGCCUUUGGGCAAACCAUCAGUCAGAGAAUCGAAGACCAUCUUGAUUUCUUGGACUUUUUUCAUUGACAAGGCAAAUUUCCACCUUAAUGGUCAUGUGAACAAACAGAAUAUUUGCUUUUGGGCUAUGUGGCUCAGCCUCAUGAAUAUCAGUAUCGCCCACAACUGUUUGGUGUGCGUUGGGUCGUAAUGGCAUUCUCGGGCCAUACUGGUUCAAGGAUGCUGAUGCACGUCCAGUAACUGUGAACACAGAGCAAUACAUUGGACUAAUGAGAAGAAAAUUCAUCCCGGCACUGAGGCACAAGUGAGGAGUGGACAUGGAUACUGUGAGCAGGAUGGAGUAACUGCAUUGCUCUGAUGCUUCACUGGAAUACCUCCAUUGCUACUUCCCUGAAGACAGGCUUAUCUCCCAUUGUACAGACCAUCCUUGGCCUGCACAUUCUCCAGACCUGUCCCCUUUGAAUUAUUUUCUGUGGGGAUACCUAAAAGACAGGGUCUAUGCUAACAAUCUCCAAACUAUUGCUGUACUCAAGAAUAACAUUCAAACAGAGAUUAAGAGAAUUCUCCAAGACAUGUUGGACAGGGUCAUUAGAAACUUCAAUGUGAGAGUAGCCACAGUGAUUCAGUGCCAAAGAGCUUGGAUUGAGCACAUUAUAAACUAUUGAGCUGUGCUCACAAAAUGGUGGUAUACAGGGAAAGAAAAAUAAACCACACAAAACUUGCAUAUCUGUAAGACAGGUCUAUGAAAAAAAAAUUGUAAAGUUUUCCUUUCAAUAAUAAAGGCUACUUUAUCACAAA